This is a long non-coding RNA of Lolium perenne, 674 nucleotides long. RefSeq lists it as uncharacterized. NCBI's taxonomy places the organism in Eukaryota, Viridiplantae, Streptophyta, Magnoliopsida, Poales, Poaceae. The record is from RefSeq and is a predicted model, not a curated record.
GUCAGGCCCUCCGUAUUCGCGUGGAAUCACCGAAACCGUACGAGGCUUCUCUUCCCCAACCUCACCGCUACAGGCGACAGGGGCGACCUUUCUCUCGCGAGAGCUCCCGCCCGACCGUCCGGCUGGGCGGCGCCCGCCCUUCCCUGGCCCAAACCCUUGGCGGGGCUGCGGGAUUAUUGGUGGCGGCGGCGCGAUGCAUAGCGGCGGCGCCCGAGCUUGCGGAUGUGGUAGGCCUCGCCCUCGCGGCCUGCGAGUCGAUCCCGUUGGAGUCGUCCCCUGUAGGAGUUCUGCACAAGAAGAACUUCUGAUCAGUGUCCAGUAGCACCGGGACUCCGGGAGCAGUCCCAGACUGCUGUAAAUCAUACGAGCAUGCGCUGGCCGUGAAUCUUCUGACCAAGACAGUUGCGAAGCAAUAUGGCUGGGCUGGCUGCCAGCAUGUCAAGGAAGUUUGCGACCAUAUCAACAACAUAUCAUUUGCUCAAAUGCCUGAUCCUCCCCUAAAAUUCUUGUUACUGAGCGCUGGCUUCAUCAUAAGAUGUUUACAAUCACACCUGGUGCAUUUGUGAUUUAUAAUGUACGAAGCCACCACAACCCUGUGUCAUUAGUUUCGGCAGUGAAACUAGCUCUGAGCUCAUUGUUUCACAAUAUAAAAUGGAAAAUGCUGGUUUUCCUUC